CAGUCGCCGCGGGAAUACGUAGGUGGCAAGCGUUGUCCGGAAUUAUUGGGCGUAAAGGGCUCGCAGGCGGUUUCUUAAGUCUGAUGUGAAAGCCCCCGGCUCGACCGGGGAGGGUCAUUGGAAACUGGGAAACUUGAGUGCAGAAGAGGAGAGUGGAAUUCCACGUGUAGCGGUGAAAUGCGUAGAGAUGUGGAGGAACACCAGUGGCGAAGGCGACUCUCUAGUCUGUAACUGACGCUGAGGAGCGAAAGCGUGGGGAGCGAACAGGAUUAGAUACCCCCGUAGUCCCUGUCUCUUAUAC
RNAcentral lists this ribosomal RNA (301 nucleotides) under uncultured bacterium. RNAcentral's name for it is "partial 16S ribosomal RNA". It matches the Rfam family "Bacterial small subunit ribosomal RNA", at positions 509 to 807 of the family's 1533-position model. The record is from RNAcentral.